GGGGGGUGUUGCUCAAACAUUAGUUUUCUAUGUUGUGUGUUGUGUACUGUUGUUUGUCUGUUGGUCUUAUUUUUUUGCCAUGGGCCCUUGUCAGUUUAUUUUCCACUUAUGAUGAGUUUCAAUGUCCCUUUGGUUUCUUUCACUCUCUUUUUGAUGUUGUUAUACAAUCAAAUUGAGAAUGAAAAUGGGGAAUGUGUCAAAGAGACAACAACCCGACCAUAGAAU
Molecule: long non-coding RNA, 225 nt
Filed under: Mytilus galloprovincialis (Mediterranean mussel)
Lineage: Eukaryota; Metazoa; Mollusca; Bivalvia; Mytilida; Mytilidae
Source: RNAcentral